GUCUGCCUACUCCUAUGAAUUUACAUUCUGCUGAAAUCAGUGAAAGAUGUUGAAAAGGAUUUUCUCAAUAGAUGUUAAAAAGUGCUCUGGGUGAUCGGAUUAAAGAAAAGACUGACUAUAAAGAAGAAAAUACUGGAAAUGAAGAGGUAGAGGAUGGAACUGAGGAGACACUGUCUCAGCACAGUGAUGGCAUCGUGGAGUAUGGGCCAAAGAAGUCAAGGCCAGGACUUCCCGUGCGUAGAAAGCCACCCUACAGAUCCCAUUCGCUCUCUCCAUCUCCAGUUAACAAACACAAACAGUUCCACGUGGAGAGAAAAAGGCAGCGCAAGCCAAGAGAAACAGAUAUCCGCCAAUUCCGAGCACAGGCGUUUACCGAAGCAUUUGAAAGGGAACUAAGAAGACAUAAAGUUCAAGAGAAUAUUGGACCUCUAACAAUACAUGAGAAGGAGGAGGAAACAGUGGGUAAAAGUCUCCACUGUAAUAAAUGCCAUUUGAUCAGAUGAGUGGGAAGUACAAAGAUGAUCUUUUUAAAAGAAGAAGG
Molecule: small RNA, 541 nt
Filed under: Pongo abelii (Sumatran orangutan)
Lineage: Eukaryota; Metazoa; Chordata; Mammalia; Primates; Hominidae
Description: retained intron
Source: RNAcentral